GAUGAACGCUGGCGGCGUGCCUAAUACAUGCAAGUCGAGCGAACAGACGAGGAGCUUGCUCCUCUGACGUUAGCGGCGGACGGGUGAGUAACACGUGGAUAACCUACCUAUAAGACUGGGAUAACUUCGGGAAACCGGAGCUAAUACCGGAUAAUAUAUUGAACCGCAUGGUUCAAUAGUGAAAGACGGUUUUGCUGUCACUUAUAGAUGGAUCCGCGCCGCAUUAGCUAGUUGGUAAGGUAACGGCUUACCAAGGCAACGAUGCGUAGCCGACCUGAGAGGGUGCUCGGCCACACUGGAACUGAGACACGGUCCAGACUCCUACGGGAGGCAGCAGUAGGGAAUCUUCCGCAAUGGGCGAAAGCCUGACGGAGCAACGCCGCGUGAGUGAUGAAGGUCUUCGGAUCGUAAAACUCUGUUAUUAGGGAAGAACAAAUGUGUAAGUAACUAUGCACGUCUGGACGGUACCUAAUCAGAAAGCCACGGCUAACUACGU
This 496-nucleotide ribosomal RNA is filed under the name uncultured bacterium. Its description in RNAcentral is "partial 16S ribosomal RNA". It matches the Rfam family "Bacterial small subunit ribosomal RNA", at positions 28 to 506 of the family's 1533-position model. The record is from RNAcentral.